This 253-nucleotide ribosomal RNA is filed under the name uncultured bacterium. Its description in RNAcentral is "partial 16S ribosomal RNA". It matches the Rfam family "Bacterial small subunit ribosomal RNA", at positions 524 to 776 of the family's 1533-position model. The record is from RNAcentral.
UACGUAGGGUGCGAGCGUUAAUCGGAAUUACUGGGCGUAAAGCGUGCGCAGGCGGUUCGUUGUGUCGGUGGUGAAAUCCCCGGGCUCAACCUGGGAACUGCAUUUGUGACUGCAAGGCUGGAGUACGGCAGAGGGGGAUGGAAUUCCGCGUGUAGCAGUGAAAUGCGUAGAUAUGCGGAGGAACACCGAUGGCGAAGGCAAUCCCCUGGGCCUGUACUGACGCUCAUGCACGAAAGCGUGGGGAGCAAACAGG